AGAGUUUGAUCAUGGCUCAGAUUGAACGCUGGCGGCAGGCCUAACACAUGCAAGUCGAGCGCGAAAACACUUCGGUGUGAGUAGAGCGGCGGACGGGUGAGUAAUGCUUGGGAAUCUGCCCAGUAGUGGGGGAUAACGUGUGGAAACGCACGCUAAUACCGCAUACGUCCUACGGGAGAAAGCAGGGGAUCUUCGGACCUUGCGCUAUUGGAUGAGCCCAAGUCAGAUUAGCUAGUUGGUGAGGUAAUGGCUCACCAAGGCGACGAUCUGUAGCUGGUCUGAGAGGAUGAUCAGCCACACUGGGACUGAGACACGGCCCAGACUCCUACGGGAGGCAGCAGUGGGGAAUAUUGCACAAUGGGCGAAAGCCUGAUGCAGCCAUGCCGCGUGUGUGAAGAAGGCUCUAGGGUUGUAAAGCACUUUCAGUGGGGAGGAAAAGUUUAAGA
This 446-nucleotide ribosomal RNA is filed under the name uncultured bacterium. RNAcentral describes it as "bacterial SSU rRNA". It matches the Rfam family "Bacterial small subunit ribosomal RNA", at positions 8 to 459 of the family's 1533-position model. The record is from RNAcentral.